GACGGGUAUCCGGCCUGAGAGGGUGAACGGACACACUGGAACUGAGACACGGUCCAGACUCCUACGGGAGGCAGCAGUAGGGAAUAUUGCUCAAUGGGGGAAACCCUGAAGCAGCAACGCCGCGUGGAGGAUGAAGGUUUUAGGAUUGUAAACUCCUUUUGUUAGAGAAGAUUAUGACGGUAUCUAACGAAUAAGCACCGGCUAACUCCGUGCCAGCAGCCACGGUAAUACGGAGGGUGCAAGCGUUACUCGGAAUCACUGGGCGUAAAGAGUGCGCAGGCGGGAUAGCAAGUCAGAUGUGAAAUGCUAUGGCUUAACCAUAGAACUGCAUUUGAAACUGUUAUUCUA
RNAcentral lists this ribosomal RNA (348 nucleotides) under uncultured Helicobacter sp. RNAcentral describes it as "bacterial SSU rRNA". It matches the Rfam family "Bacterial small subunit ribosomal RNA", at positions 278 to 643 of the family's 1533-position model. Lineage: Bacteria; Pseudomonadati; Campylobacterota; Epsilonproteobacteria; Campylobacterales; Helicobacteraceae. The record is from RNAcentral.